AAUAAGUUUAGGUUUGUGUCUAACAUUAGGCUGUACUUCUUGUUUGAAUUUUUUUUAUAAUUAGUAUUUUUGUCGUUAUUACUUAUUAUAUAACAAAACAUGAAUAGCAUUUUACACAUGACUUAUUUUUUUCAUAAAAUUUUCAAAUAAGGCAAACGGGCAAACGUUGGAGACAGAAACCCACAAAUGAAUUAUUU
Molecule: non-coding RNA, 197 nt
Organism: Oryza glumipatula
Lineage: Eukaryota; Viridiplantae; Streptophyta; Magnoliopsida; Poales; Poaceae
Source: Rfam